UCGUAGUUGGAGUUCUGCCAGGUGACGCUCGUCCGCCCAAGUGGUGUGUACAGGGCGUGCAUCUGGCCCUUUCAAGGGGAACGUGUCGCACUUUAUUGUGUGGCGCGAGAUCCUUGACUUUUACUUUGAGGAAAUAAGAGUGUUCCAAGCAGGCUCUCGUCGUGCAUAGCUCAGCAUGGAAUAAUAGCAUUGGACUUCGUUUCUACGCUGUUGGUUGCAAGAAGCGAGGUAAUGAUGAAGAGGGAUAGUUGGGGGCAUUCGUAUUUAACUGUCAGAGGCGAAAUUCUUGGAUUUGUUAAAGACGGACUACUGCGAAAGCAUCUGCCAUGGAUGUUUUCAUUGAUCAAGAACGAAAGUUAGGGGAUCGAAGACGAGCAGAUACCGUCCUAGUCUUAACUAUAAACCAUGCCGGCUAGAGAUGAGAGGUCGUUCAAUUUGUGACACCUUUUGCAUCUUGAGAGAAAUCAAAGCCUUUGGGUUCCGGGGGGAGUAUGGUCGCAAGGCUGAAACUUAAAGGAAUUGACGGAAGGGCACCACCAGGAGUGGAGCCUGCGGCUUAAUUUGACUCAACACGGGGAAACUUACCAGGUCCGGACU
This 597-nucleotide ribosomal RNA is filed under the name uncultured marine eukaryote. RNAcentral's name for it is "SSU rRNA". It matches the Rfam family "Eukaryotic small subunit ribosomal RNA", at positions 628 to 1230 of the family's 1831-position model. The record is from RNAcentral.